UUUGCCGCCCAACAACAGCACAUAACUCGCUGUCUUCCUUCCUCAUCUAUUUACUUCGCUGAUUUCUCGGGAUUAGACGUUAUUUCCGCGUUUCCAUAUCAUAGUUCGUUUCCAUAAACAACAUCUAACAAGCCCCACAAAUUCAUACAACAUGUUUUUGACACUCUCACACCUUCAAAACAUCUCUUCGUUCAACCUUGUCGGAGAGCACCUCCAGUCGCGGGAAUACCAAACAUAUCCUUCUUUCAAAGAAGCCGCAACUCUCUCUCUCUCUCUCACUGUUGAACCUUCGCCGGACAUCGAAACGCAUCGAGGACGACACCGCAAACCUCUGUUUCACCCGUACGUUUCACCGGUGCUCCAAACUAAUCCACCGAAAAGAUCAAGACGUGCCGGACGAUCGGAGAAAACGAUCAGAACUUGCGGCUUGUCUGUGUUCGGAUAACCAUUUCAUUCGUUCUCUUGGAAUUUCUCCAAUCCUUACUCGUGCGUUAUUACAAGGAACUCUUAUACGCAACCACUGUUGAUGAUGAUGAAAUGAAAACGGAUAGCAAAGAUGCCUAGAUACUCAC
Long non-coding RNA from Helianthus annuus (common sunflower), 572 nucleotides. RefSeq lists it as uncharacterized. Lineage: Eukaryota; Viridiplantae; Streptophyta; Magnoliopsida; Asterales; Asteraceae. The transcript has 3 exons. The record is from RefSeq and is a predicted model, not a curated record.